This is a non-coding RNA of Cinara cedri, 235 nucleotides long. The record is from the annotation of a GenBank genome assembly. NCBI's taxonomy places the organism in Eukaryota, Metazoa, Arthropoda, Insecta, Hemiptera, Aphididae.
UUUCUAUUUACAAACCGAUAAUUUGCUGUCGCACGUAACGUGUAACACGAUGAUAACAUACGAAAAACAAACUGCAGUCUGUACUAAUAACAAUUACUGUAAUUAUACAACUUUACGUUCGGUGCUGCAAUCGCAGACGUUUUGUGAAACCGUAUCGAAAACAAACCGUCUUUAACGGUUGAAAUUCGAGAAAAGUCCGGCGGAUUUAUAGCGAAACGGCGGGUAGUUAUGGUUU